AGAACGAACGCUGGCGGCAUGCCUAAUACAUGCAAGUCGAACGAACUCUUCGGAGUUAGUGGCGCACGGGUGCGUAACGCGUGGGAAUCUGCCCUUGGGUUCGGAAUAACAGUUGGAAACGACUGCUAAUACCGGAUGAUGACGAAAGUCCAAAGAUUUAUCGCCCAGGGAUGAGCCCGCGUAGGAUUAGCUAGUUGGUGAGGUAAAGGCUCACCAAGGCGACGAUCCUUAGCUGGUCUGAGAGGAUGAUCAGCCACACUGGGACUGAGACACGGCCCAGACCUCCGUACGGGAGCAGCAGGUAGGGAAUAGUUGGAC
Molecule: ribosomal RNA, 318 nt
Filed under: uncultured soil bacterium
Lineage: Bacteria
Description: bacterial SSU rRNA
Rfam family: Bacterial small subunit ribosomal RNA
Source: RNAcentral